This 245-nucleotide ribosomal RNA is filed under the name uncultured bacterium. RNAcentral's name for it is "partial 16S ribosomal RNA". It matches the Rfam family "Bacterial small subunit ribosomal RNA", at positions 524 to 768 of the family's 1533-position model. The record is from RNAcentral.
UACGUAGGAGGCAAGCGUUGUCCGGAGUUACUGGGCGUAAAGGGCGCGCAGGCGGCCGGUCGCGUUCCUGGUGAAAGCUCCGAGCUAAACUCGGAGAGGUUCAGGAAAACGGGUCGGCUUGAGCGUCGGAGAGGGGCAUGGAACUCCGGGUGGAGCGGUGAAAUGCGUAGAGAUCCGGAAGAACACCAAUGGCGAAGGCAGUGCCCUGGCCGACUGCUGACGCUCAGGCGCGAAAGCGUGGGGAG